UACAGAGGGUGCUAGCGUUGUUCGGAAUCAUUGGGCGUAAAGGGCGUGUAGGCGGUUUGUUAAGUCAUGUGUGAAAUCCCUCGGCUCAACCGGGGAACGACGCAUGAAACUGGCAAGCUAGAGUACCAAAGAGGGGGGUGGAAUUCCCGGUGUAGCGGUGAAAUGCGUAGAUAUCGGGAAGAACACCAGUGGCGAAAGCGGGUCUCUGGGACGGUACUGACGCUGAGACGCGAAAGCGUGGGGAGCGAACAGG
RNAcentral lists this ribosomal RNA (253 nucleotides) under uncultured bacterium. RNAcentral's name for it is "partial 16S ribosomal RNA". It matches the Rfam family "Bacterial small subunit ribosomal RNA", at positions 524 to 776 of the family's 1533-position model. The record is from RNAcentral.